UUGAAACGUUGACCGUUGGGGCGGUGGUUGGGUGCUCACAGGAGCAGCCUCAGACAAUGGGAGGAAAUGAUGACGUCAAACAGCGCGGUGUCUGGUGGACUAUUCUCGCAGGGGAAGCUAGGGCAACGGUUGUGGUGUAGGUGCGCACCCGUCUGGAUUUCACUUUAAUGCAAGAUUUCCAUAAACAGUGACGUCAUAAUUGGUUAAUGUAUUUAACGAAUAACAGAGGGAGAUUUGCGAAGCUCUCCUGUCUGGACGACCUUUGGGACGGAUGACGUCACGACCAAUAACAGUGCAGAGCUCCUGAUGCCCUGGAGGAGAAAUCAACGGACGCUUCAUUGCUUCGGGUGGAUCUCUGAGUGGCGGUCAUGCUGUUGGUGCUCUCCUCGCCACGGAUUUCGUGACGAGCGACUGUCUUUGACUGAGUGAUAUGUGUGGAAAUACUUCGGUGCCGCUUACACACCUGUACCGCAGCCAACCCCCGAAUAUCAUUGGAGUCCGACACCGGAAUGUAUGUAUUAUUAUAACACGAGUAUGGAUGUUGAUAAUGUGACUAUCAUUUCAGAUUACCCAACGUUGGAUCCCGUGAAUUAUUACUGGAGUCCGCCGCCACCGCAAUGUCACUAUUGUGCCCAACGUCGGAAAUGAUGGAACUAAUAAGGAGUACAAUAAUUAUUACAUCGAAUGAAAUAUUAACUAAUGAAUAAAUGUAUGUUUCCUUUA
Ornithodoros turicata is the source of this 723-nucleotide long non-coding RNA. RefSeq lists it as uncharacterized. The record is from RefSeq and is a predicted model, not a curated record. NCBI's taxonomy places the organism in Eukaryota, Metazoa, Arthropoda, Arachnida, Ixodida, Argasidae. The transcript has 6 exons.